GACGAACGCUGGCGGCGUGCCUAAUACAUGCAAGUAGAACGCUGAAGAGAGGAGCUUGCUCUUCAUGGCUGAGUUGCGAACGGGUGAGUAACGCGUAGGUAACCUGCCUGGUAGCGGGGGAUAGCUAUUGGAAACGAUAGCUAAUACCGCAUAAAAUUGAUUAUUGCAUGAUAAUUAAUUGAAAGAUGCAACUGCAUCACUACCAGAUUGACCUGCGUUGUAUUAGCUAGUUGGUGAGGUAACGGCUCACCAAGGCGACGAUACAUAGCCGACCUGAGAGGGGGAUCGGCCACACUGGGACUGAGACACGGCCCAGACUCCUACGGGAGGCAGCAGUAGGGAAUCUUCGGCAAUGGGGGGAACCCUGACCGAGCAACGCCGCGUGAGUGAAGAAGGUUUUCGGAUCGUAAAGCUCUGUUGUAAGAGAAGAACGGGUGUGAGAGUGGAAAGUUCACACUGUGACGGUACCUUACCAGAAAGGGACGGCUAACUACGUG
Molecule: ribosomal RNA, 497 nt
Filed under: uncultured bacterium
Lineage: Bacteria
Description: partial 16S ribosomal RNA
Rfam family: Bacterial small subunit ribosomal RNA
Source: RNAcentral